This 314-nucleotide ribosomal RNA is filed under the name uncultured gamma proteobacterium 400m-FREE-31. RNAcentral describes it as "bacterial SSU rRNA". It matches the Rfam family "Bacterial small subunit ribosomal RNA", at positions 8 to 304 of the family's 1533-position model. The record is from RNAcentral. Lineage: Bacteria; Pseudomonadati; Pseudomonadota; Gammaproteobacteria.
AGAGUUUGAUCAUGGCUCAGAUUGAACGCAGGCGGUAGGCCUAACACAUGCAAAUCGUAACGGUAACGGACCGCUGGGAUUCCUUCGGGAUGACCUUGGUGCCGACGAGUGGCGGACGGGUGAGUAACUCGUAGGAAUCUGCCACACAGUGGGGGACAACCCCGAGAAAUCCGGGCUAAUACCGCAUUCCCCCUACCGGGGAAAACGGGGGACUUUCGGGCCUCGCGCUGUUUGAGGAGCCUGCGUCCGAUUAGCUUGUUGGUGAGGUAUAGGCUCUCCAUGGCGACAAUCCUUAGCUGGUCUGAGACGAUGAU